RNAcentral lists this ribosomal RNA (250 nucleotides) under uncultured bacterium. RNAcentral describes it as "partial 16S ribosomal RNA". It matches the Rfam family "Bacterial small subunit ribosomal RNA", at positions 525 to 774 of the family's 1533-position model. The record is from RNAcentral.
ACGGAGGGUGCAAGCGUUGCUCGGAAUCACUGGGCGUAAAGCGCGUGUAGGCGGCCCGGUAAGACGAGUGUGAGAGCCCGGGGCUCAACCUCGGAAGUGCAUUCGAAACUGUCGGACUUGAGUACGGGAGAGGGAAGUGGAAUUCCUGGUGUAGAGGUGAAAUUCGUAGAUAUCAGGAGGAACACCGGUGGCGAAGGCGGCACUCUGGGCCGGUACUGACGCUGAGGAGCGAAAGCGUGGGGAGCAAACA